Molecule: ribosomal RNA, 538 nt
Filed under: Pseudohyphozyma bogoriensis
Lineage: Eukaryota; Fungi; Basidiomycota; Microbotryomycetes; Chrysozymaceae
Description: partial large subunit ribosomal RNA
Rfam family: Eukaryotic large subunit ribosomal RNA
Source: RNAcentral
AAACUAACAAGGAUUCCCCUAGUAGCGGCGAGCGAAGCGGGAAGAGCUCAAAUUUGUAAUCUGGCACCUUCGGUGUCCGAGUUGUAAUCUCGAGAAGUGUUUUCCGCGCCAGACCGCAUACAAGUCUGUUGGAAUACAGCGUCAUAGUGGUGAGAACCCCGUAUAUGAUGCGGAUGCCUGGUGCUCUGUGAUACACUUUCGAAGAGUCGAGUUGUUUGGGAAUGCAGCUCAAAUUGGGUGGUAAAUUCCAUCUAAAGCUAAAUAUUGGCGAGAGACCGAUAGCGAACAAGUACCGUGAGGGAAAGAUGAAAAGCACUUUGGAAAGAGAGUUAACAGUACGUGAAAUUGUUGGAAGGGAAACGCUUGAAGUCAGACUUGCUAUUUGGAAUUCAGCCGCAAGGUGUAUUUUUCAAUUUGCAGGCCAGCAUCAGUUUUCGGGGAUGGAAAAGGAUUAGGAGAAGGUAGCAGUUUCGGCUGUGUUAUAGCUCUUAAUUGGAUUCAUCCCUGGGGACUGAGGAACGCAGCUCGGCUAGGAUGC